GAUGAACGCUGGCGGCGUGCCUAAUACAUGCAAGUCGAGCGAACAGAUGAGGAGCUUGCUCCUCUGACGUUAGCGGCGGACGGGUGAGUAACACGUGGAUAACCUACCUAUAAGACUGGUAUAACUUCGGGAAACCGGAGCUAAUACCGGAUAAUAUAUUGAACCGCAUGGUUCAAUAGUGAAAUACGGUUUUGCUGUCACUUAUAGAUGGAUCCGCGCCGCAUUAGCUAGUUGGUAAGGUAACGGCUUACCAAGGCAACGAUGCGUAGCCGACCUGAGAGGGUGAUCGGCCACACUGGAACUGAGACACGGUCCAGACUACUACGGGAGGCAGCAGUAGGGAAUCUUCCGCAAUGGGCGAAAGCCUGACGGAGCAACGCCGCGUGAGUGAUGAAGGUCCUCGGAUCGUAAAACUCUGUUAUUAGGGAAGAACAAAUGUGUAAGUAACUAUGCACGUCUUGACGGUACCUAAUCAGAAAGCCACGGCUAACUACGUG
RNAcentral lists this ribosomal RNA (497 nucleotides) under uncultured bacterium. RNAcentral describes it as "partial 16S ribosomal RNA". It matches the Rfam family "Bacterial small subunit ribosomal RNA", at positions 28 to 507 of the family's 1533-position model. The record is from RNAcentral.